Corvus hawaiiensis (hawaiian crow) is the source of this 734-nucleotide long non-coding RNA. RefSeq lists it as uncharacterized. The record is from RefSeq and is a predicted model, not a curated record. NCBI's taxonomy places the organism in Eukaryota, Metazoa, Chordata, Aves, Passeriformes, Corvidae. The transcript has 4 exons.
ACCAUAGCAAUGUACGUACUUUACGCACAUCAGCAUCCUGUCUGCAGGGCACGGACCCGGGGCAGCAGGUUGGGGCUGGAUGUAAGUAUUCCACAGCUCUGAUCCAGCAUUUAUCUCCUGGGUAGGAAACAGCUCCCAGGAGGUGCUGUUGUUUCAAAAGGAAGCAACGUGGAUCGAAGCACAUUGCACUCUGCUUGGGGGACUGGCUUGCAGCAGAAGAGCUUUCUCUGGGUUGGUGUGACAGGACAUCUGAGCCCAGACAGGAUGGAUCUAUCCAUGACCCAGUCCAACCUUCAGCUUCUCCCAAGGUGCCUGCAAGGAGGCCACACAAGUCCUGUACAGGAGGGUGCUGCAGAGCCCUCCAGCUGCAGUCCUGAGCUGGUGGCGUUGCUCCUUGCUGUGGAUUUGUCCCAUCUGACAUCCUGGAGAAGAAGGUGAGGAAGUCACCAGAACAAUUUUUAGCAUUUAGAGUCAACCACUGUGUAAAAUGAAAGCCCAGCAGCUCAACUGUUCCAGUGCCAUGGAGGGAGCUUUGAGAAGAAUUGGAUACUGCAGGACACUCAUCCCACUACUGGGUUAAUGUAAAUUUCUAAGGAAGACUGCAAGGAUCCUAGUAGAUCAGUCAGUGGAGCAGAGUAUUGUGAACUCCAGUGCAAAGAUCCACAAGCUGCAAAUCUAUACCAAAAGGAAGACUGUGCACAGAAUCAUGUCAGCAAACAUGUGGAGGAGGAAGG